This 1210-nucleotide long non-coding RNA is filed under the name Homo sapiens (human). RNAcentral describes it as "HSALNT0373046". The record is from RNAcentral. Lineage: Eukaryota; Metazoa; Chordata; Mammalia; Primates; Hominidae.
CUGAUACGAAUGGUAAUUUUAUAAUUGCUUUUAGUUUUUUAUUAACAUGUGGGCUUUCUGCUCAGACUCCCUGCUUUUCAGAACUGGUAUCCACUUCCAGCCAAAGAUUAGCCUUUGCCCCAUGCUUCUCUACCACUGGAGUUACUUCAAACACCACCACCUAAAUAAAGCUCAGUUCCCACUGCACCAACAAGCCACAGCCGAGAGUUCUGUGCAACAAAUGCGUUUCUGAAGUUCCGGAAGCCUGGACAUAGCAGUAAUUCCAGGACAAGACAGUUGGACAGCCCGCGGGGGUGGGGGUCAGGAGGAAUGGCUCCCCAGACUCCUGAACAGAGGAUGGUGACCCAAUCAGGGAACACGUCUCAACCCAACAUUGAAAGGACAAAGUUGCGUCUGCAGGCUUCCUCUUAAUUCUAUGGAUCAUGCAAUAGUCUUUCAAGAAAUUAUCUUCUGCUUAGCUAGUCACUUCCUGUUGCUAGAACCAUGAAGAGGCCUGGUGAAAGAUGUUCAGUAUACUACCUGCAUCAGCUGCUACUGCUAUGUGACAAGAAAACAGUAUGAAGUAAAUGUGCCAGAUUGGUAGGUGGGUCUGCUCCAAAGAGUCAUUCAAGGAUUUAGGCUUCUUCCAUUUCACUUUUCCACCAUCUCUGAGGGUGUUGCUCUCAUCCAUGUAGCUGAAGCUCAGGUGCCUUCAUGUCAAUGUCCAGCCACAGGGAAGGGCACACAAAGGAGACACACCCAUGGUCUUGAGGUGGAGGCCAGAGCAAAUUUUCCAGAAACACUGACAUGGAAACAGGAUCUUUCUUCUCCUACUGUUUGUUCCUCGACUACAGUUAUAAUCCUCUAUUUGUGACAUCAUAAUUAGUUGCCACUGGAGAAGACGAUCGUGUCACAAAAGGAUUAGGACCUAAGUCUUGGAGUCCAGCCACUAUGCUGUGGGGAAGCAAAGAAAGCUGUGGAGAGGCCACGUGGGGAGGAAUGCCAUCCUUAGCAUGGGCUGAGCUCCCAGGCAGCACCCAUCUCCAGACAUGCGAGUGAACAGGACUUCCGGCAAUUCCAGCCCCAGCCACUGAGUCACUUCCAGUUUCUCAGUGUUUCCAGGGGAGGCCUCAGACACUAUGGAGCAAAGAAAAUCUGACCCAGCUGUGCCCUGUCCAAAUUCCUGACCCAUAGAGAAUACAAGAGAGAAUAAAACGAUGUUGUUUAAACC